Molecule: unclassified non-coding RNA, 253 nt
Filed under: Rhodothermales bacterium
Lineage: Bacteria; Pseudomonadati; Rhodothermota; Rhodothermia; Rhodothermales
Also listed under: 1 other name
Description: partial 16S ribosomal RNA
Rfam family: Bacterial small subunit ribosomal RNA
Source: RNAcentral
GACGGAGGGUCCAAGCGUUGUCCGGAAUCAUUGGGUGUAAAGGGUGUGUAGGCGGGAGGGCAAGUCUAGGGUGAAAUCCCGCGGCUUAACCGCGGAACUGCCCCGGAUACUGCUUUUCUUGAGUCCCGGAGAGGCCACUAGAAUUCGUGGUGUAGCGGUGAAAUGCGUAGAUAUCACGAGGAAUACCGGUUGCGUAGGCGGGUGGCUGGACGGCGACUGACGCUGAGGCACGAAAGCGUGGGGAGCAAACAGG